RNAcentral lists this ribosomal RNA (301 nucleotides) under uncultured bacterium. RNAcentral describes it as "partial 16S ribosomal RNA". It matches the Rfam family "Bacterial small subunit ribosomal RNA", at positions 509 to 807 of the family's 1533-position model. The record is from RNAcentral.
CAGUAGCCGCGGGAAUACGGAGGGUGCAAGCGUUAAUAGGAAUUACUGGGCGUAAAGCGCACGCAGGCGGUCUGUCAAGUCGGAUGUGAAAUCCCCGGGCUCAACCUGGGAACUGCAUUCGAAACUGGCAGGCUAGAGUCUUGUAGAGGGGGGUAGAAUUCCAGGUGUAGCGGUGAAAUGCGUAGAGAUCUGGAGGAAUACCGAUGGCGAAGGCAGCCAUCUGGCCUAAUACUGACGCUGAGGUACGAAAGCAUGGGGAGCAAACAGGAUUAGAUACCCGUGUAGUCCCUGUCUCUUAUAC